AGAGCGAACGCUGGCGGCAGGCCUAACACAUGCAAGUCGAACGGACUCUUCGGAGUUAGUGGCGGACGGGUGAGUAACACGUGGGAACGUGCCUUUAGGUUCGGAAUAGCUCCUGGAAACGGGUGGUAAUACCGAAUGUGCCCUUCGGGGGAAAGAUUUAUCGCCUUUAGAGCGGCCCGCGUCUGAUUAGCUUGUUGGUGAGGUAAUGGCUCACCAAGGCUACGAUCAGUAGCUGGUCUGAGAGGAUGACCAGCCACAUUGGGACUGAGACACGGCCCAAACUCCUACGGGAGGCAGCAGUGGGGAAUCUUGCGCAAUGGGCAAAGCCUGACGCAGCCAUGCCGCGUGUAUGAUGAAGGUCUUAGGAUUAGUAAAAUUCUUUCACCGGUGAAGAUAAUGACUGUAGCCGGAGAAGAGCCCCGGAUAACGUUCGUGCCAGCAGCCGC
This 446-nucleotide ribosomal RNA is filed under the name uncultured soil bacterium. RNAcentral's name for it is "bacterial SSU rRNA". It matches the Rfam family "Bacterial small subunit ribosomal RNA", at positions 26 to 518 of the family's 1533-position model. The record is from RNAcentral.